Long non-coding RNA from Cyprinus carpio carpio, 941 nucleotides. The record is from Ensembl. NCBI's taxonomy places the organism in Eukaryota, Metazoa, Chordata, Actinopteri, Cypriniformes, Cyprinidae.
UUGUAAACAAAACACUAAGCACACAGAAUGUGCGAAUAUGAAAGCUAUGCGAGUGGGUGCGUGCGUGUGUUGCAGUGUGUGUAAUGGCGGCGCAAAGGUACUGACCACGUUUGCAGGUAUUGAAGGCACCAAUGAGUAUCGCGGGUCACCAGACACCAAGAUAGGUGGAUAAGCGGUUUUUGCCUUGUCUUCAGGACUGCUCAUGACAGUUGGUCUGGAAUGCAAUGCUUCAGUCACGCACCAGACAUCAUCGCCAUGGAACAGCGGAUUGACACGCAGCCGUCUUUCCACCGUAAACCAUCUCUCAUACGGGCAACCCUCAUGUGCAAACAAACGAAUGACGCCUCUCUUUCAGCCUCUCCGACUUCUGCAAUUACAAGGAAAACCCCCUUUCGUCACCAUGUGAAUCCCAAAGACGUCAUCCAAAUGACAAAUCGCCAGCCAAUCAACAGCUCCAGGACUCCUUCAGCCAGAAAAGGAAACCCUACUUUCAGUGCAAAUCUGCCUACCAUUAUCAAGUGGGGACCUUUUUCAAGGCCAUGCUCAGCCCUGGUGGAUUCUGGGGCUGAGGGUAAUUUAAUUGAUGCUACCCUGGUGUCUCCUACCACCCCUCUCAAGAAGAAACUCAUUGCCAGGGCUCUCAACGGCACCAUCCUCACCCAAGUUACUCAGGUCAUUUCCCCUGUAAGUUUUAACUGUUUCUGGCAACCAUUGUGAGGAGAUUGUGUUUUACCUCCUCGAGUCUCCCAGCACACCUACUGUGCUGGGGAACCUGUGGCUGGUGAGACACAGUCCUCACAUUGUUUGGGUUGAGAAUUCUGUAUUGGCAUGGAGCUCAUUUUGUCAUAAAUUUUGCCUGGGUGUUGCCUUUUCUGCUGGUUUUUCUUGUUCUAUGUUUCAGGAUGGGCAGACUGCGGUCUUUGCCAUUGACCUUCUCCCAG